This 294-nucleotide ribosomal RNA is filed under the name uncultured bacterium. RNAcentral's name for it is "partial 16S ribosomal RNA". It matches the Rfam family "Bacterial small subunit ribosomal RNA", at positions 28 to 314 of the family's 1533-position model. The record is from RNAcentral.
GACGAACGCUGGCGGCGUGCCUAACACAUGCAAGUCGAACGGGACUUGCCCCUUCGGGACGAAGUUUAGUUGGCGGACGGGUGAGUAACGCGUGAGCAAACCUGCCUUUCAGUGGGGGACGAACAGUUGGAAACGAACUGCUAAUACCGCAUAAAUACUUAUUAGGGGCGAUCUCUGAUAAGUCAAAGAUUUAUUUGCUGAAAGAUGGGCUCGCGUCUGAUUAGCUAGUUGGUGGGGUAAUGGCCCACCAAGGCGACGAUCAGUAGCCGGACUGAGAGGUUGAACGGCCACAUU